AAUUGUGAUGUAUUUUCAUCCUCAGAAGAGAGAUGUAACACAGAGAGGGAAACUACAUUCUUGGUGGGCCAGCCAGGAGAUCAGCUUGAUUUAUUACUGCACCUUGACAUUUUGGUUUUUGUUCUUUUGAACAUGGGGAGGAUGGCCUUCGAAAAGCAUCUGUUGAAUACGAAGAAUAAGCAGGAGACGCAAAGAAGCAGAGAGAAACACAGCAUGUCUCCAACUGCAAUUAAUUUAUCUUGCAUGCUAUUUUCUAAGUUCCUGUGGUUACCAGUCUAAACCCAUGGUGUUCUCUGAGGAGGGCUCCUCACACAAUCCAGCCAAUCAGUGUUGCCCUCUCCCUCUUCUGAGCUUUCAGAGAUCAGAUGCGAAUGACAACUGGACCGAACAUAUUUCUUUUAUUUCCACUACAGAUUGCUUAACCAUUCUGCUUGUGAAUCAGAGAAGUCUCAACAGGAAAGUCUGAGACAUCUUGACUUAUCUAAUCCUCCAAAUUUCCUAGGUACUGCCAGCUCAUUGUAAACAUGGUGGCCUGCAUUAUCCUGCAUGCUUCCUCUGGGCAAAAAGAAUUUGGAAGAUUUCCUCUUGUCUCACCAUCUCCUUAAAUGCUCUCUUCUUAACUUUCUCAGUAAACAGCUUGCCACUAGAGGUUUUCCAAUAAGUGUUGCCUUGCAACACAGUACCCAUCCUCUGGGAGUAUUCUGAUGUGCUUUCUAUUACUUCAAAGUAGGUAUCCUCCCACUUUCAUCAUGCCUCAAGCAAACACACACAAACGCAUGUUAUUUCAAACUUAGAAAUGUUCUAUUAUGUACCUAGCCAUAUUUUCACAACAAAGAGAGUCAGAUAAAAAAUUCAGUUGUAAACAUAUACUACUACACCCCUGUUUUGUAUACAAUAUUCCUGAAGUGUAUUCCUUUAAGCUUAAGAGUAUCCCCCUUGGGAAUAUGACUGAAAGUUUAGACUGGGAGUAGAAAAAAAAA
Molecule: non-coding RNA, 980 nt
Organism: Pogona vitticeps (central bearded dragon)
Lineage: Eukaryota; Metazoa; Chordata; Lepidosauria; Squamata; Agamidae
Source: RefSeq, a predicted model, not a curated record